RNAcentral lists this long non-coding RNA (1011 nucleotides) under Calidris pugnax (ruff). RNAcentral describes it as "lncRNA (ENSCPUG00000001781.1)". Lineage: Eukaryota; Metazoa; Chordata; Aves; Charadriiformes; Scolopacidae. The record is from RNAcentral.
AUGAAAGAGGAGAUCCAGACGAUGCAGGAGGCGCUUGGCUUGCUCCAGGGGAAACGCCAGGACACUGCCAGCCAGCUGCCAGGCCACCGCAACCAGAAGCGGAAUUACGAUGAAGUGUGGCCGGAAUCAGGCCUGGGUCCUGCAGCAGGACAGGAGAAAAGGCUGAAGGAAAGGCUGAAGCUCAGCCCAAUCCCGGAGGAGGAGGACACUGGGCUCUGGUCUGCCCCUUCCAAGCUCCCCCAGGUGGAUGUGGACAGCCAGCAUGGGGCAAGCUCCACACCAGGACCAAAGGGUGGUCCUGUGCCCAGCACAAGCAAGGCGACUCCAGGGACCCAGCCUGGCUCUGAUGCGACGCAAGCAGGGACACGCAGAGCACCAGGGAUCCCUGAGAAGGUGGCAGGCACUCCUUCAGAUGGAAGGAGGGCUUCUGAUGCCAGUGCCGUGACCCCAGAGAUGCAGCCUGGAUCGUCCAGCGCCCAACUCCCCCUCCCAGGGAUGGAGCCAGCCCUCCCUGGCAUCAAGAUAGCCACCCCAGGGGAGCAGCCAGGGUCCCGUGGCACUCAGAGCUCCAGCCCGAGGAAGCAGCCAGUAUUCCCCAGCACCCAACUCAGCCCUCCAGGGAUGGAGCCAGCCCUCCCUGGCAUCAAGAUAGCCACCCCAGGGGAGCCACCAGAGUUGCCUCGCAGCCAGACCCUCAGCCUGGAAGUGCAGCCAGGAUCCCCUGACAUGUCCCAUUUACAAGUGCCAGCCAUGCCCUGGGAGUCCUCACCCUCCGGCCGUGCCUCUGACUAUGGCGUGGUGACGGUGGAGGCUCUCCACCAUUUUGGGCAGCUGAAAGAGCAGGUGUCCGAUGUGGGAGCCACGAAGUCCGAUUACACAGAGGAUGAGGAUGCGCACCUGCUCUUCCCAGAGGGAGAUGAAGAGAGCGUUGCCCUCUGGGGUCAAGAGUUCUCCCUGCAGAGCCUGGCCAGUGACCUGCAGGAAAUGAAGGAGAAGGUGAGCUGGCAGUAG